RNAcentral lists this ribosomal RNA (331 nucleotides) under uncultured eukaryote. Its description in RNAcentral is "partial 18S ribosomal RNA". It matches the Rfam family "Eukaryotic small subunit ribosomal RNA", at positions 1470 to 1796 of the family's 1831-position model. The record is from RNAcentral.
CCCUUAGAUGUUCUGGGCCGCACGCGCGCUACACUGACGAAGUCAGCGAGCAUGUCCUACGCCGACAGGUGCGGGGAAUCUUGUCAAACUUCGUCGUGAUGGGGAUUGAUUAUUGAAAUUCUUGAUCAUCAACGAGGAAUUCCUAGUAAGCGCAAGUCAGCAGCUUGCGUUGAUUACGUCCCUGCCCUUUGUACACACCGCCCGUCGCUACUACCGAUUGAAUGGUUUAGUGAGAUCUUCGGAUUGGCGCCACUGCGGCUCAGCAAUGGGCUCGGUGGAGGCCGAAAAGUUGAUCAAACUUGAUCAUUUAGAGGAAGUAAAAGUCGUAACA